This 1522-nucleotide ribosomal RNA is filed under the name Salmonella enterica. Its description in RNAcentral is "bacterial SSU rRNA". It matches the Rfam family "Bacterial small subunit ribosomal RNA". RNAcentral also lists the same sequence under 1 other name. Lineage: Bacteria; Pseudomonadati; Pseudomonadota; Gammaproteobacteria; Enterobacterales; Enterobacteriaceae. The record is from RNAcentral.
AGAGUUUGAUCAUGGCUCAGAUUGAACGCUGGCGGCAGGCCUAACACAUGCAAGUCGAACGGUAACAGGAAGCAGCUUGCUGCUUCGCUGACGAGUGGCGGACGGGUGAGUAAUGUCUGGGAAACUGCCUGAUGGAGGGGGAUAACUACUGGAAACGGUGGCUAAUACCGCAUAACGUCGCAAGACCAAAGAGGGGGACCUUCGGGCCUCUUGCCAUCAGAUGUGCCCAGAUGGGAUUAGCUGGUUGGUGAGGUAACGGCUCACCAAGGCGACGAUCCCUAGCUGGUCUGAGAGGAUGACCAGCCACACUGGAACUGAGACACGGUCCAGACUCCUACGGGAGGCAGCAGUGGGGAAUAUUGCACAAUGGGCGCAAGCCUGAUGCAGCCAUGCCGCGUGUAUGAAGAAGGCCUUCGGGUUGUAAAGUACUUUCAGCGGGGAGGAAGGUGUUGUGGUUAAUAACCGCAGCAAUUGACGUUACCCGCAGAAGAAGCACCGGCUAACUCCGUGCCAGCAGCCGCGGUAAUACGGAGGGUGCAAGCGUUAAUCGGAAUUACUGGGCGUAAAGCGCACGCAGGCGGUCUGUCAAGUCGGAUGUGAAAUCCCCGGGCUCAACCUGGGAACUGCAUUCGAAACUGGCAGGCUUGAGUCUUGUAGAGGGGGGUAGAAUUCCAGGUGUAGCGGUGAAAUGCGUAGAGAUCUGGAGGAAUACCGGUGGCGAAGGCGGCCCCCUGGACAAAGACUGACGCUCAGGUGCGAAAGCGUGGGGAGCAAACAGGAUUAGAUACCCUGGUAGUCCACGCCGUAAACGAUGUCUACUUGGAGGUUGUGCCCUUGAGGCGUGGCUUCCGGAGCUAACGCGUUAAGUAGACCGCCUGGGGAGUACGGCCGCAAGGUUAAAACUCAAAUGAAUUGACGGGGGCCCGCACAAGCGGUGGAGCAUGUGGUUUAAUUCGAUGCAACGCGAAGAACCUUACCUGGUCUUGACAUCCACGGAAGUUUUCAGAGAUGAGAAUGUGCCUUCGGGAACCGUGAGACAGGUGCUGCAUGGCUGUCGUCAGCUCGUGUUGUGAAAUGUUGGGUUAAGUCCCGCAACGAGCGCAACCCUUAUCCUUUGUUGCCAGCGGUCCGGCCGGGAACUCAAAGGAGACUGCCAGUGAUAAACUGGAGGAAGGUGGGGAUGACGUCAAGUCAUCAUGGCCCUUACGACCAGGGCUACACACGUGCUACAAUGGCGCAUACAAAGAGAAGCGACCUCGCGAGAGCAAGCGGACCUCAUAAAGUGCGUCGUAGUCCGGAUUGGAGUCUGCAACUCGACUCCAUGAAGUCGGAAUCGCUAGUAAUCGUGGAUCAGAAUGCCACGGUGAAUACGUUCCCGGGCCUUGUACACACCGCCCGUCACACCAUGGGAGUGGGUUGCAAAAGAAGUAGGUAGCUUAACCUUCGGGAGGGCGCUUACCACUUUGUGAUUCAUGACUGGGGUGAAGUCGUAACAAGGUAACCGUAGGGGAACCUGCGGUUG